CCUUUCUUGGCUGAUCCCUUUCGCUUUAUGGCGUGCUCGUUUGGGUUGGGCGUCGGCUAAGAGUGCUCGAAGCGUGGAUUAACUCCAGUCUCCAAUCAGGUGUGUAUUUAUCACUACUCUUGUUGUUGGAUGGCUACUUCGGGCCGCGAUGGGCCGAAAGGGGCCAUGUGGGCCCAAUGGGCCUACGGGCCCAAUUGGAUAAGUUGUUUGAUUGUGUAGUAAAUGUUGGACUAGGCUAGGUGAAUCGCAUAUCUGUGGCUAGGUUUGGGCUAAAAGGGCCACACGAGCGUGUGGGCCCAUUUUGGCCGAGAAUAGGCUUUAGGCCCAUUUGUAUUGUUAUCCAUGUUUAGAAUACUUUAGUUUACCAAUUACUGAAAUGCCCUUGACUUGUAAAAUUACCAAAGUACUCCCGAUUUACAGAAUUACCAUUUUACCCUCGAUUUACAGAAUUACCGUUUUACCCUCGAUUUUUAAAAUUACCAUUUUAUCCUCGAUUUACAGAAUUACCGUUUUACCCUCAGUUUACAGAAUUACCGUUUUACCCUCGAUUUACAGAAUUACUAUUUUACCCUCAAUUUACAGAAUUACUAUUUUACCCUCGAUUUAUAGAAUUACCGUUUUACCCUCGAUUUGUAAAAUUACCGUUUUACCCUCGAUUUACAAAAUUACCGUUUUACCCUCAAUUUACAGAAUUACUGUUUUACCCUCGAUUUACAGAAUUACCGUUUUACCCUCAAUUUACAGAAUUACUGUUUUACCCUCGACUUACAGAAUUACCGUUUUACCCUCGAUUUGUAAAAUUACCGUUUUACCCUUAAUUUACAAAAUUACUGGUUUACCCUCAGUUUACAAAAUUAUCGUUUUACCCUCGAUUUACAGAAUUGCCGUUUUACCCUUGAUUGUGAAAUUACUGAAAUACCCCUGUAGGGUAGAAUUUCCGAAAUACCCCUAUAGGGUAAAAUUACUGAAAUACCCUUAUAGGAUAGAAUUACCAAAAUACCUCUGUAGGGUAGAAUUAUUGAAAUACCCUUGUAGGGUAGAAAUACCGAAAUACCCCUGUAGGGUAGAAUUAUCGAGAUACCUUUGGGGGGUAAAAUUACCAUUUUGCCCCUAGGGUGUUAAAUGACUGUUUUGCCCUUGUGGGCAAGUGACUGACUUGGACUGUGUGGUUGACGGAUUUGAUUGUGAAUAUAUGUUGGUGAUAUGAAUGACUUGACUGUGAUUGUUUGAUUCAAAUAUGGGCAUGACAUUCUGCAUACAUGACAUGUUGCAUGGGUUGGGAUUUUGUACGGAGGAAGCGUUCUGGUGGCUAUGCCACAAAUAUCUGUUCUGGUGGCUCUGCCACAAUAUCUGUAUCUGGUGACUCUGUCACAAUAUCUGUUGACCGAUCGAUGGCUGAGUGCCGAUCACGUUACCGAAGGCUGUGUGCCGUUGUUGUGGGCUUCGUGCCGAUUAUAGACCCGUUAUUAAUGGCUCUGUACCAACCUAAAUAUGGCUUUGUGCCAUCUUGAGUAUGGAUUCGUGCCAAACGUAUUUACCUGUAGCUAUGUGCCUAACAUAUUUGCUGACGACUCUAUGUCGAUCAUAUUUACCGAAGGCUGUGCGCCAGUUAUAUUACCGUCACUAAUGGCUAUGUGCCGAAGUUAUUACAAUUAUCUAUGGCUUUGUGCCACGUAUUCUGUUAGGUGGCUUUGCCACAUUAUCUGAUUCUGGUGGCUCUGCCACAAUAUCUGUAUCUGGUGACUCUGUCACGAUAUCUGUUCUAGCAGCCAUGCUGCAAAUUUUAUGGUGUGUAGCGGAUGGGUGGGUCGAGUUGUCUCCCCACAUGGUGUAAGGUUGGUACGAGGGUGUAUACGGCUGGAUUGGGUUGGGAUUACAUUCACAUUAUGAUUCUGAUUCUGUCACCUAAUUCUGAUUCUGAUUCUGAUUCUGUUACUAAUACUGAUUCUGAUUCUGAUUCUGUUACUGAUUUUGAUUCUGAUUCUGUCACCUAAUUCUGAUUCUGAUUCUGUUACUAAUAUUGAUUUUGAUUUUGAUUCUGUUACUGAUUCUGAUUCUGAUUCUCAUUUUGGUUCCAAUUCUGAUAAUGUUUCUUAUUCUGUAAUGGGCUAAGGUCCAUCUGGUACUGUCUGUUGUAAUGGGCUAAGACUCGAUUGGUACUGAAAUUGUAAGUAAGGCUGGGGCCAGACUUUUAAUUCUUUUAGAUGACUGACUGUUCCUUUUUAUAGUAGGGGAUUUCACACUGAGUUUUCGUAAACUCACCCCGUUUAUUAACCUUUCAGGUAAUUCCAGCCUUAGAUGGAUCGGGGUUGCUAGGGGCUCGGAGGAAGCCACACACACCAUUUAUGCUACAGUUUUGAUUAUUACCUUUAAAUUAUUUUAUGUGGGUUGUAGUAAAGCCGUUGUAAUUUUCUGGAUUUCAAAUUUGGAAUUUUAUUUAUUGUUCUUAUAAUUGCUAGUAUUAGAACACGAUUUUCCAAAACAACUACUGUUAUUCAAAACAUCACGUAACCGCAAUUGUUUUUAAAGUAAGUUUCCGCAACUACCAAGAUUUUUACAAAGUUGUUAAGAAUGUUAUUCAGCUGAGGUUUUCUAACAAGGUAUAAAAAAGGUAUAAGUUUUUAAUUAUUAAGAAGGGUUUUUAAUGGAAACAUGGUUUUCGAAAAACACUUCAAUGUGACACGCCAAGUUCGAGCCAAACUUCCAGGCCAGGUUUGGGGUGUUACAGGUAUGACUUUGUUACUAAAUACUGCAUGACAGCGAUUGAUACUGUGAUGGGCUAAGGCCCUACUGCAUAUUUGAUACUGUACUGAGAUGAGCUACGGCCUAAACUGUUACUGAUACUGAAAAAUACUUAGGCCCAGGAUUGUUUUAACUGUGCACUGUGAUUUGCUAUUGUUUGUUUUUCUGUCAGAUUAUACACUGAGUUUAUGUAAACUCACCCUUUUGUUUAAAUGUGCACAGGUAAUCCCCAGAUCUAGAUGGAUCGAUGCGGCGGAGGACUCGACGGUGACCACAGUUUUUUGACUUUACGUUCUUUUAAUUUAUGUUUUAUGGUUUUAUUAUUAUUGGGAUGUAAUUUGAGAACUCUUGGGACUUUUGCUUAAAUUUGGUUUUUGUUUUAUUUUUUGAAAUUAUAACUUCUAGUCGUAGGAAGUUUGGUUUUCAAAAAGC
Molecule: long non-coding RNA, 3174 nt
Filed under: Gossypium barbadense (sea-island cotton)
Lineage: Eukaryota; Viridiplantae; Streptophyta; Magnoliopsida; Malvales; Malvaceae
Description: long non-coding RNA (GBAR_LNC008411)
Source: RNAcentral